Molecule: long non-coding RNA, 965 nt
Organism: Homo sapiens (human)
Lineage: Eukaryota; Metazoa; Chordata; Mammalia; Primates; Hominidae
Product: long intergenic non-protein coding RNA 1608
Source: Ensembl
AGUCUUCCUUACAGUCCCCUCUAAAGCAAUUAUUCUGUUCAAAAGAGGAUUUGUUUGUGAUAUUCCUUUAAGAAUCUUUAUUUAUUCCCCCAACAGUUUCUUUUUCUGCAUCCGCUGCUCUGUUAAGUGAUCACCACAUUCAUUGUUCUCGUUUCUAUUAUUUCUGAAAAAAAUCUUCAGGAUUCUGCUUGUGGGAGUGGAUGACAUUUUUACAGUGUUUACAGGCUGAAAAUUUUUCGAGCUUUUAUGCUCUGCUUCCGUUAUAAGGAGGAGGCCUCACAAUCCUGGUGGAAGGCAAGGAGGAGCAAGUCACAUCUUAUGUGGAUGGCAGCAGGCAAAGAAAGCUUAUGCAGACACAAAAUGAACAAGAUGUCUGUGGCAACCCUCAGACCAUUGACGCCUUCUCUCCUAUGUAUCAAAUCACACAUUUGGACGUUGACUGAACCCUCACAUGUCAGAUGCUCAAUAUUGAGCUUUAUCUAUUCCAGAAUGUCAUAUAGCUGGUAUAAGGUUGUCUUCAUUCAUUUCCACAGUUUCUCUGGAGGUUCCAACAAGAUACGGUCUCCAUUGCCCAUUGCUCUGGACCCCAGCCAUCACCCAGUGCAGCAGUGAUGCCUUAUGACAAGUCAGCACCUGGUCUGAACUCUGCUCUCUUUGCACUGAAUUCUUUGAGUUUUUAUUCCAAGUUCAGUCAUUGGUUUUAGUAUUGGUUCCCAUCUGCUUGGCAUCCUUGGUGGAAUUGGGCUUCUUUUUUCAAUUUCUUUUUGCUGUCUUUUUGUUUUACUGUGUUGAGUAGUGCUAUCUAAAUGUGUUUAUCAUAAAAGAAGCAGCACAUGAUCAUAGGCCCAUGAGCCUGUUUUUCAAGCCAGCCAAACAGCACAUUUAGUUUGACAUUCACACUGGACCUCUGUCCAUUUUUAUAAACUUCGCUUUGGGUCAUCAAUAAAACUAAAUGAAGUUCUCUC